GGCGAAUUGUGAAGAAACAUGAUUUCAAUCAAACGCAGACUGUGCAGAACUUGCCGCCGCGGCCGCAACGCCCUCCGCUUCCAAUGGCGAUCAGCCAGAUCCACCGGCGACAUCAAACAUUGUUAUGUCGUCCAGGGAUCGACUCUCUCUUCAGCGGUGGUGGCAUCAGGUCUGUCCCCCUUUUACCUUCUAAUUUCGACAAGGUAUCAUCACUUUGUUUUCACUUUUUCUUAUGCUAUUUCCUCUUUCACUUAUUUUUUAUUGCUUUUGGGUUUCAAACUUUCAUUUUAAGUUUUUAUCUACAAAAUCGCAAUCAGCAUGGAAUGACUUCGUUUGUGCAUUGAUUUUGUUUCCCCG
RNAcentral lists this long non-coding RNA (357 nucleotides) under Lupinus mutabilis. RNAcentral's name for it is "partial ncRNA". The record is from RNAcentral. Lineage: Eukaryota; Viridiplantae; Streptophyta; Magnoliopsida; Fabales; Fabaceae.